RNAcentral lists this ribosomal RNA (492 nucleotides) under uncultured bacterium. RNAcentral's name for it is "partial 16S ribosomal RNA". It matches the Rfam family "Bacterial small subunit ribosomal RNA", at positions 29 to 507 of the family's 1533-position model. The record is from RNAcentral.
AGUGAACGCUGGCGGUAGGCCUAACACAUGCAAGUCGAACGGCAGCACAGUAAGAGCUUGCUCUUACGGGUGGCGAGUGGCGGACGGGUGAGGAAUACAUCGGAAUCUACUUUUUCGUGGGGGAUAACGUAGGGAAACUUACGCUCAUACCGCAUACGACCUACGGGUGAAAGCAGGGGAUCUUCGGACCUUGCGCGAUUGAAUGAGCCGAUGUCGGAUUAGCUAGUUGGCGGGGUAAAGGCCCACCAAGGCGACGAUCCGUAGCUGGUCUGAGAGGAUGAUCAGCCACACUGGAACUGAGACACGGUCCAGACUCCUACGGGAGGCAGCAGUGGGGAAUAUUGGACAAUGGGCGCAAGCCUGAUCCAGCCAUACCGCGUGGGUGAAGAAGGCCUUCGGGUUGUAAAGACCUUUUGUUGGGAAAGAAAAGCAGCAGGUUAAUACCCCGCUGUUCUGACGGUACCCAAAGAAUAAGCACCGGCUAACUUCGUG